This 459-nucleotide ribosomal RNA is filed under the name uncultured bacterium. RNAcentral describes it as "partial 16S ribosomal RNA". It matches the Rfam family "Bacterial small subunit ribosomal RNA", at positions 338 to 795 of the family's 1533-position model. The record is from RNAcentral.
CCUACGGGAGGCAGCAGUGAGGAAUAUUGGUCAAUGGAGGGAAGGCUGAACCAGCCAAGUCGCGUGAAGGAUGACGGUGCCAAGCAUUGUAAACUUCUUUUGUCAAGGGACAAACUCAGGCACGAGUGCCUGAUUGAGGGUACUUGAAGAAUAAGCAUCGGCUAAUUCCGUGCCAGCAGCCGCGGUAAUACGGAGGAUGCGAGCGUUAUCCGGAUUUAUUGGGUUUAAGGGGUGCGCAGGCGGACCGUUAAGUCAGUGGUAAAAGCCCGGGGCUCAACCCCGGCGAGCCGUUGCAACUGGCGGGCUUGAGAUGUCGAGAGGUAUGCGGAAUGCGCGGUGUAGCGGUGAAAUGCUUAGAUAUUACGCAGAACUCCGAUUGCGAAGGCAGCAUACCGGCGGCGUUCUGACGCUGAGGCACGAAGGCGUGGGUAUCGAACAGGAUUAGAUACCCUAGUAGUC